GAUGAAGAACGUAGCGAAAUGCGAUAAGUAAUGUGAAUUGCAGAAUUCAGUGAAUCAUCGAAUCUUUGAACGCACAUUGCGCCCGUCAGUAUUCUGGCGGGCAUGCCUGUUCGAGCGUCAUUACGCCCCUCAAGUCCCCUGUGGACUUGGUGUUGGGGAUCGGCGAGGCUGGUUUUCCAGCACAGCCGUCCCUUAAAUUAAUUGGCGGUCUCGCCGUGGCCCUCCUCUGCGCAGUAGUAAAACACUCGCAACAGGAGCCCGGCGCGGUCCACUGCCGUAAAACCCCCCAACUUUUUAUAGUUGACCUCGAAUCAAGUAGGACUACCCGCUGAACUUGAGCAUAUCAAUAAGCGGAGGA
RNAcentral lists this unclassified non-coding RNA (358 nucleotides) under soil metagenome. RNAcentral describes it as "partial contains 5.8S ribosomal RNA, internal transcribed spacer 2, and large subunit ribosomal RNA". The stretch from base 1 to 120 matches the Rfam family "5.8S ribosomal RNA", at positions 35 to 154 of the family's 154-position model. The record is from RNAcentral.